UACGGGGGGGGUAAGCGUUGUUCGGAAUUACUGGGCGUAAAGGGCUCGUAGGCGGCCAACUAAGUCAGACGUGAAAUCCCUCAGCUUAACUGGGGAACUGCGUCUGAUACUGGAUGGCUUGGAUUCGGGAGAGGAAUGCGGAAUUCCAGGUGUAGCGGUGAAAUGCGUAGAUAUCUGGAGGAACACCGGUGGCGAAGGCGGCUCACUGGACCAUAACUGACGCUGAUGCACGAAAGCCAGGGGAGCGAACGGG
This 253-nucleotide ribosomal RNA is filed under the name uncultured bacterium. RNAcentral describes it as "partial 16S ribosomal RNA". It matches the Rfam family "Bacterial small subunit ribosomal RNA", at positions 524 to 776 of the family's 1533-position model. The record is from RNAcentral.